Molecule: ribosomal RNA, 318 nt
Filed under: uncultured fungus
Lineage: Eukaryota; Fungi
Description: eukaryotic LSU rRNA
Rfam family: 5.8S ribosomal RNA (bases 1-71)
Source: RNAcentral
GUGAGUCAUCGAAUCUUUGAACGCACCUUGCGCUCCUUGGUAUUCCGAGGAGCAUGCCUGUUUGAGUGUCAUUAAAUUCUCAAUCCUUUCAGCUUUGCGAGCUGGAUUGGCUUGGAUAUGGGGGUUUGCGGGCUUCUCAGAAGUCGGCUCCCCUUAAAUAUAUUAGCGGAACCUUUGUGGACCAGCUUUGGUGUGAUAAUUAUCUACGCCAUGGUUGUGAAGCAGCUUUACAUGGGGUUCAGCUUCUAAUCGUCUAUUAACUUGGACAAUUUCUGACAUUUUGACCUCAAAUCAGGUAGGACUACCCGCUGAACUUAA